AACGAACGCUGGCGGCAUGCCUAACACAUGCAAGUCGAACGAGACCUUCGGGUCUAGUGGCGCACGGGUGCGUAACGCGUGGGAACCUGCCCUUAGGUUCGGAAUAACUCCCCGAAAGGGGUGCUAAUACCGGAUAAUGUCUUCGGACCAAAGAUUUAUCGCCUUUGGAUGGGCCCGCGUUGGAUUAGCUAGUUGGUAGGGUAAAAGCCUACCAAGGCGACGAUCCAUAGCUGGCCUGAGAGGAUGAUCAGCCACACUAGGACUGAGACACGGCCCAGACUCCUACGGGAGGCAGCAGUGGGGAAUAUUGGACAAUGGGCGAAAGCCUGAUCCAGCAAUGCCGCGUGAGUGAUGAAGGCCUUAGGGUUGUAAAGCUCUUUUACCCGGGAUGAUAAUGACAGUACCGGGAGAAUAAGCGCCGGCUAACUCCGUG
This 433-nucleotide ribosomal RNA is filed under the name uncultured bacterium. Its description in RNAcentral is "partial 16S ribosomal RNA". It matches the Rfam family "Bacterial small subunit ribosomal RNA", at positions 29 to 507 of the family's 1533-position model. The record is from RNAcentral.